GGGGGUCAGCGGCAGACGGGUGAGUAACGCGUGGGAACGUGCCCUUCGGUUCGGAAUAACUCAGGGAAACUUGAGCUAAUGCCGGAUACGCCCUUUUGGGGAAAGGUUUACUGCCGAGGGAUCGGCCCGCGUCUGAUUAGCUAGUUGGUGGGGUAAUGGCCUACCAAGGCGACGAUCAGUAGCUGGUCUGAGAGGAUGAUCAGCCACACUGGGACUGAGACACGGCCCAGACUCCUACGGGAGGCAGCAGUGGGGAAUAUUGGACAAUGGGCGCAAGCCUGAUCCAGCCAUGCCGCGUGAGUGAUGAAGGCCUUAGGGUUGUAAAGCUCUUUCGGCGGGGACGAUAAUGACGGUACCCGCAGAAGAAGCCGGCUAACUUCGUGCCAGCAGCCGCGGUAAUACGAAGGGGGCUAGCGUUGCUCGGAAUCACUGGGCGUAAAGGGCGCGUAGGCGGACAAUUAAGUCAGGGGUGAAAGCCCAAGGCUCAACCUUGGAACUGCCUUUGAUACUGAAAGUCUUGAGACCGGAAGAGGUAAGUGGAACUGCGAGUGUAGA
Molecule: ribosomal RNA, 555 nt
Filed under: uncultured bacterium
Lineage: Bacteria
Description: bacterial SSU rRNA
Rfam family: Bacterial small subunit ribosomal RNA
Source: RNAcentral